Molecule: ribosomal RNA, 377 nt
Filed under: uncultured bacterium
Lineage: Bacteria
Description: bacterial SSU rRNA
Rfam family: Bacterial small subunit ribosomal RNA
Source: RNAcentral
UAAGACAGAGGCCUCGAGCGUUAGGCGGAAUCACUGGGCUUAAAGCGUGUGUAGGCGGAAGCGUAAGUACCUUGUGAAAUCCCACGGCUCAACCGUGGAACUGCUGGGUAUACUGCGUUUCUUGAGCAAUCUAGGGGCGAGUGGAACGGAUGGUGGAGCGGUGAAAUGCAUAGAUAUCAUCCGGAACGCCUGUGGUGAAGACGACUCGCUGGGGAUUUGCUGACGCUGAGACACGAAAGCCAGGGGAGCAAACGGGAUUAGAUACCCCGGUAGUCCUGGCCCUAAACGAUGUCCACUAGACUGCAGUGGCUCUGACGCCGUUGCGGUCGAAGCAAAAGUGUUAAGUGGACCGCCUGGGAAGUACGGUCGCAAGGCUA